CCACAGUUGCACUCUAAAUUCGCCUCAUCGCCGUUCGGCUCAGCAGCGACGAAAAUGACGACGACGAAUUCAACGAUGACGAUAACGAUGGCGACGGCGACGACGAUGGCCUGUGUCUCUGACAUUUUCCGCUGUGCUUGGCAUUGAAAGCGCGACAGGCAAGCAGCUAACAACGUUCCAUUCCCAAGCAAAAAGACAGCACUAAACAGUUCAACACCAAUAGCAGUGUUCACUAGGACUAAAAAAAAGCAAAAAAUAAAUAUAAAAACAAAUAAAACUUAAAAGUACAAUAGCUUAAUUGCAUUUUUUAUACGAUGGUAAUUAAAUUUAAACACGCAAAUGACAACAAUGACACCAUCGAGUCCCAAUAACAAUAAUAACACAAAAAAAAAUACAAAUUAAUUGUGCAACAACAAAAAUAAACGUAACACAAAAAAAAUCAUUUGAGUAGUGCUCCACAAAUACGCAAAAACAAACAACAACAACAAUAAUGUAUUCCAAUUGUACUUCACCUAUACAUGUAUAUGAAUAUAUAUAUACAUGUAUAUGUGUUAAGUAAGUGCAAUUCUGUGAGCUAAAAUUGUGAAAUUCUUUAAAAAAAAUUCUAAAUUAAUUAAUGUGUUAAAUAAAGUAAAUUCGUAUGCACCUUUGGAAAAUUGCGUGUCAAAAUUUGGCUUUUUCUAAAUGCCAAAUUGUAAUUAUGCAUGCGAAGAAAGAAAUUUCUCUGUGCAAAUGAAAUGAAAUCAAAUCGAAUUAUUGAAAAACAUUGCAUCACCAGAAACGGAAGAAAAACCCAGGGGAAAACUUGGAAAAGGAAACGCUUGACGCCAUAUGGAUGAUGUUAUUAUGUACUAGCAACGAGGGGCAAAAAGCACAGCCAGAACACAAACACACAGGCAAAGCGCACACGCACACGGAUAAAAAAAAGCACUCGCACUGUGGCAAAAUGAGCAAAGAACGUCAUAGAACUGCCAGCGAACGGGUAAGGGACAAGUAGAAUGUAUGAAUGAAAGAAUGACAACGGCAGACAGAGAGCGAAAGGGAGAGAGAACAGAGCAGAGACGAACGAGCGAGAGAAAACAGAGCGGAAUUACGGCUGAAGGCCACGAAGCGUCGUCGUCAAUAGCAGCAGCAGCAGUGUUUUAUGUGUGAUGGCAACAUCGGUGUGUGGGGCAGUAGGGCACAGCACUCGGUGGUGUCGAAGAAGAACAACAGGAACAGGAAGAAACCAAAAAAACAAAAAAAAAUAAAACUUGACGAAACUUAAACACUGAGAGUGUGUGAGCAGCGUGAGCGCGCCAACGAGAGCGAAUACUAGAAGAUAGAAGCUCUGCUCUUGCUCAGUCGACGCCGAUGUAGACGUCGACGGCGACGACGACGACAAACUUUCCUUGUGGCCAGUCGUCGACGACGACAUUGAGCAACGGCACCUUCAACCGAUCGCAGCGCAGCACAGUCCUCCAGUUCGUGUCCGCGUUUGUCAAAAUUCGCAGUACGUGGAAUGCGGAAACAAAACGCAUAUUAAAUUCGGGAUAUAUGUACAUAUAUAUGUAUGUAUGUGUGUAAAUACAUGCAUAAUACAUAUGCAUAUUGCGUUGUUGUUAUUUCGUCCUUUCGUCGUCGAAAGCAACCCCCGUUUAAGCCAAGCCGCAAGCACAAUGAAAAUAACGCAAAUCUGCCAAUGGAGAGUGGAGUGGAGCGGAGCGGAGCGGUGAGGAGAGGAGAGAUGUAGAAUGUGUGGCUAAAGAGUUGUGGCGGACAGCGCAGCAUCAGCAGCGUCAGCAUGGAAGUGUAAUCAGCGACAGUCGAGUGAACUGAAUCCAGUUACAGCAACAGCAAUCACACACACACAUACGCACAUACACACUCGCCCCUACACACGAACAGAAAGGCCUGCGAAAUGAAAGUAAACACAAAGAACGAAAAGAAAAAAUAAAUAAAUCAUGCGAGCGAUUACGAUAAGAGGAAGAGUUGAAAAAAAAUGUGUCCACAAUUUUCGCAUGACGACAGCAAAAAGCAGCAACAGCAGGCAGUACAACAACAACAACGACAAUUAAAGUGCAGUGCUGCUGCUGCAUCGCGUGUGCGAGCGAGAGAGCGAGCGGGCAAACAAAAAUGGCGCAUGGCAUGCGCACUGAGCAGCAGAACUUGAACUUGAAAAUUGCUUUUAUUGUUGCUGCUGCUGCUGCUGCUACUGCUUGCUCUGCUCAUCAGACGUAUAUGUUCCAUAUAACUUGACGCGGCAGCGAAGUCAACGAAGGCGGCACCAGAGCACCAUAAAAAGCCGGCGAAGCCAAAGUGCUGAGCGCAGAGAGCAAAGAGAAACGAGAGAGUGAGAGAGAGCGCCGAUAGGCUAAGCUUUGCUUGCUGCUGCUGGCAGCGCAGGUACGUAUAUGUGUAUGAGUGUGAGAAGUAAAUAAGUGAAUAUGUGGACAAAAGAAAAACAAAAACAAAAACAAACGGGCAUGGUAUGUGGGAGAAUGUGAGGCGAAAGCUUUUUGCAAUAGCUUUUGCGUGGGCGACUUAAGGCCAGGCAGCGCUGCCGACGUCCGCCAACUGUUUGCUUUUGUUGUACUCUCAAGGAGUGCUUUUUAAUGCUGCCAGCUGCCCCGAAACUUUCUCUUUCAUGUAUGCGUGCGUGUGUGUGUGUGUGUGUAAAUAAUGCUGUUGCAUAUUUACUGGGAAACGAUGACGCGCACCUGUGCGAACCACAGCUGCAGCGUCGAUAGGAUGCUGCUGCUGCUUGCUUGCUGCCAGCCUGGCGCAAACUUAUUCAGUGUUGAGCGCUCUCCAGGCGAGGUCAGGCCUCACUCUCACUCUCCUUCUGUCUCUGUCUCUAUACGUGUGUGUUCGCGUGUGUGUGUGUGUUGGUAAAGUUGCCAUAUGAGUGCGUUAAUUGUGUGCCGAAAAUGUGGCAAAAAUAACAUAAUCUGGUGAAAAUUGAUUAAUAGCUUAAAAUAAGCUGUGUCCAAACGAGAGUGGGAUUCUCACUGUGUAUGUGUGUGUGUUUGUGUGUAAACUUGUAUAACAUAUGGGAAAUCGAAACUUUUGAUAAUUAAUGUUGUGCUCACACACACACACACGGACAGACACAAGAUACACAAUUGCGCCUUGGCAUAUGCAACACAUUUUUUGGCUUGUUUUUAUUUAAGCUUUUGACCUUUUCACACAAAUAAACACAGAGACAUACACACGCACACUUACGCACAACAAAACAAGCCCAUUUAACAAGAUGCGAUGCGUAAGCAGCAGUUGAGUUAUGUUCAUAUAUAUAUAUACAGCUAAACAUUUGUAUGUGUGUGCCAUUGGUAUAUUUAUAUAUAUAUUUUUAGUUGAGGGACAGCUGGCAAAUUACGGUGGAGUAGUGUGCAUUUUUUAAAAUUCAAACAAAGGUUUAUUCAUUUUAUAAAA
Long non-coding RNA from Drosophila grimshawi, 3411 nucleotides. RefSeq lists it as uncharacterized. NCBI's taxonomy places the organism in Eukaryota, Metazoa, Arthropoda, Insecta, Diptera, Drosophilidae. The record is from RefSeq and is a predicted model, not a curated record. The transcript is spliced from 3 exons.